CCUACGGGAGGCAGCAGUGAGGAAUAUUGGUCAAUGGACGAGAGUCUGAACCAGCCAAGUAGCGUGAAGGAUGACUGCCCUAUGGGUUGUAAACUUCUUUUAUAUGGGAAUAAAACAGGGUAUGCAUACCCUCUUGUAUGUACCAUAUGAAUAAGGAUCGGCUAACUCCGUGCCAGCAGCCGCGGUAAUACGGAGGAUCCGAGCGUUAUCCGGAUUUAUUGGGUUUAAAGGGAGCGUAGGUGGAUUGUUAAGUCAGUUGUGAAAUUUUGCGGCUCAACCGUAGAAGUGCCGUUGAAACUGGCCGUCUUGAGUGCAGUAGAGGUGGGCGGAAUGCGUGGUGUAGCGGUGAAAUGCUUAGAUAUCACGCAGAACUCCGAUUGCGAAGGCAGCUCACUGGACUGCAACUGACACUGAUGCUCGAAAGUGUGGGUAUCAAACAGGAUUAGAUACCCCAGUAGUC
This 460-nucleotide ribosomal RNA is filed under the name uncultured bacterium. RNAcentral describes it as "partial 16S ribosomal RNA". It matches the Rfam family "Bacterial small subunit ribosomal RNA", at positions 338 to 795 of the family's 1533-position model. The record is from RNAcentral.